This 28-nucleotide small RNA is filed under the name Bombyx mori (domestic silkworm). Its description in RNAcentral is "ovarian small RNA-32394". Lineage: Eukaryota; Metazoa; Arthropoda; Insecta; Lepidoptera; Bombycidae. The record is from RNAcentral.
UGAUACGGACCGGACUGUGGAGGAGCGC